UAAACAUAGAAGUUGCCUGGAGGUAACAAAAGACCAAAAUUUGCAUUAGACAAACGGUGAAAAGGUUCGCAUAUCAAAACAAUCAAAAAAAACUGGAGUACAACCUUGGAACAGACUUAAAACAAACCUGGAUAAUUCUAGAAAGACCACUACGACUAAACAAGCCAGACAAAAUGAAAUGAUAAGAGGGUUUGUCCACAAGACAAUAUCCGGAUUACAACACUAAAAAUAACCCGGACAACGGAAAUGACAACAAAAUAAACUACCAAAAACUCCACUCCGACUGACCAAGAAAUGGAGUAUCUUCCCAAUUAACAAGUACAACAUCUUAAACACUAAGCUUCGCAUCAAUAUUUACAAGACCAUUAUCAACUUUAAUCAACAACUUUCCAAGAGGAUUCACAUACUACCUGACAAACCCUUCGUCAUUGCCAACCAUUCCAACAAUCUGUGCGUUGUCAUGUUCCUGUAGAGGAUUAUGUAUGACACUUGGGGUAUUUCUGCCUUGGACCACAAUUAUUCCUUCUUGAAUCAUUCUCUCUAUCUCCCUUUUCAAAGCACGAAAAUCUUCAGCAUUGUGCCCCUAGGCAUUGGAAUGGCAUUCACACCUUUUAGCAGGGCCAACAAAGAUGACUUAAAUCGGUUUGUGCAAAUUCCACGUAGAAAUACAAGGAAAAACAAAUAAAAUUAAUGAAUAAAUAAAGAGCUCACCAUUCAAUAUAUAUUCACAGGGAAGUCUCGCUCAUUUCCUUGUGGCAACAGAAAACCAUGCGUUUAACAAACUUAAGCACUUCCCAAAGAUUAAUCAUUCAAUGAACUGAACAAUCAAACUCAUAUGGAAUAAUAAGAGAAAUUCAAUCCACUUUUCACAUAUUACCCACAUCAAAGUCAGUUAUUCACAUGUUUAAGAAUUGAAUGGAGAAGAUAGUGGAAAACCAAACCUAAACUGCCAAGAAGAAAACUGUAUCAAAGCAAAAGAAGACCGACGAAUCAAAGCUGUGAGCGAGAACCUCGAAUUGAUUUUGAACUUUUCGGGAAAAACUCAAAUUUAGACAGUGAGGAAGACCAAGCUGCUGUGUUUAUAGAGUUUGAAGGCUGAUUGCAUUUUUCACAGAAGGAGUCGCUUGUGUUGUUAAGGAGGUGAGUUUGAGGAUGACUUCCAUAGAGUGGAGGAGUUGGUUUCGCGGCUAUUUGGUGUUGAUUUUGGUUGGAGAAGGGGCUGCGAUUUGGAUGAUUUUGCACCUAAUUUUCGUUGCUCUUCCUAACUGUUUUCACAGCUUGUUUAGCUGCCAUUUUAAUGUGAACUUUGAGGUAUUCUAUGGGGUGAUUUGGGGUGUUCUAAUAGCUAGUGUGCGAGGAUAAAGAAAUAGGAUGGGUUGAAGAAGAAGAGCAAUUGGGAAGCUGCUUUCUUUAGCUAUCCAAUUUUGUGUGCUCCUUCGUUUCUUUCCCUUUUUGUUUUAGCUACUAGGUCUCUCAUUUUCUUUUGCUCUUUUUUCCCCUGAUCUUUUUGCUUUUCGUUUCUUUCCGUCUCCCGUUGCUCUCGUCCUCACCCUCCCCAAAUCUAUUAUUCUUUAUUUUUUGUUCUCCUUUUAACAUCUCUGGUUUUCCCUUUUUGUUGUUUUCUCUGCCCAACCCUUUUCCGUUCCUCCCUCUCUUUUCUCCCCCCUACCCUC
This 1673-nucleotide long non-coding RNA is filed under the name Nicotiana benthamiana. RNAcentral describes it as "long non-coding RNA (NBEN_LNC028694)". The record is from RNAcentral. Lineage: Eukaryota; Viridiplantae; Streptophyta; Magnoliopsida; Solanales; Solanaceae.